Molecule: unclassified non-coding RNA, 169 nt
Organism: Chelydra serpentina (North American snapping turtle)
Lineage: Eukaryota; Metazoa; Chordata; Testudines; Chelydridae
Rfam family: Metazoan signal recognition particle RNA
About the family: The signal recognition particle (SRP) is a universally conserved ribonucleoprotein. It is involved in the co-translational targeting of proteins to membranes. The eukaryotic SRP consists of a 300-nucleotide 7S RNA and six proteins: SRPs 72, 68, 54, 19, 14, and 9.
Source: Ensembl
UGUGCGGAGCAGGUGUCUGUGCUAAGGUUGGCAUCAGUCUGGUGAUAUCCGGGAAGUUUGGGGUCCCCAGGUUACCUAAGUGGGGGGGGAGGGGUGAACCGGCCCAGAUCGGAAACGGAGCCGGUCAAAACUCCUGUUCCCAUUGACAGCGGGAUCGCUCCUGUGAACA